RNAcentral lists this transfer RNA (72 nucleotides) under Araneus ventricosus. It matches the Rfam family "tRNA". Rfam says of the family: Transfer RNA (tRNA) molecules are approximately 80 nucleotides in length. Their secondary structure includes four short double-helical elements and three loops (D, anti-codon, and T loops). The record is from Rfam by way of RNAcentral. Lineage: Eukaryota; Metazoa; Arthropoda; Arachnida; Araneae; Araneidae.
GGCUCGGAGGUCUAGGUGUAUGAUUCUCGCUUUGGGUUCGAGAGGUCCCGGGUUCAAAUCCCGGCCGAGCCC